RNAcentral lists this ribosomal RNA (282 nucleotides) under uncultured archaeon. RNAcentral describes it as "partial 16S ribosomal RNA". It matches the Rfam family "Archaeal small subunit ribosomal RNA", at positions 320 to 604 of the family's 1478-position model. The record is from RNAcentral.
GCCCUACGGGGCGCAGCAGUCGCGAAAACUUUGCAAUACACGAAAGUGUGACAGGGCUAUCCCGAGUGCCAUCCGCUGAGGAAGGCUUUUACCCAGUCUAGAACGCUGGGGGAAUAAGGAGAGGGCAAGUCUGGUGUCAGCCGCCGCGGUAAUACCAGCUCUCCGAGUGGUGUGGAUGUUUAUUGGGCCUAAAGCAUCCGUAGCUGGCUGAGUUAGUCCCUUGUUAAAUCCACCGAAUUAAUCGUUGGAUUGCGGGGGAUACUGCUCGGCUAGGGACGAGAG